GACGAACGCUGGCGGCGUGCCUAAUACAUGCAAGUCGAACGCUGAAGGAGGAGCUUGCUUCUCUGGAUGAGUUGCGAACGGGUGAGUAACGCGUAGGUAACCUGCCUGGUAGCGGGGGAUAACUAUUGGAAACGAUAGCUAAUACCGCAUAAGAGUAGAUGUUGCAUGACAUUUGCUUAAAAGGUGCAAUUGCAUCACUACCAGAUGGACCUGCGUUGUAUUAGCUAGUUGGUGGGGUAACGGCUCACCAAGGCGACGAUACAUAGCCGACCUGAGAGGGUGAUCGGCCACACUGGGAGUGAGACACGGCCCAGACUCCUACGGGAGGCAGCAGUAGGGGAUCUUCGGCAAUGGACGGAAGUCUGAGCGAGCAACGCCGCGUGAGUGAAGAAGGUUGUCGGAUCGUAAAGCUCUGUUGUAAGAGAAGAACGAGUGUGAGAGUGGAAAGUUCACACUGUGACGGUAUCUUACCAGAAAGGGACGGCUAACUACGUG
Molecule: ribosomal RNA, 495 nt
Filed under: uncultured bacterium
Lineage: Bacteria
Description: partial 16S ribosomal RNA
Rfam family: Bacterial small subunit ribosomal RNA
Source: RNAcentral